GGAACACUGCCGCUACGUACAUAACUUCUACGCGGUAUCUUUAGGUAGCAGUUCUACGGUGGCUGACAACCGCGAGAUGUCGACCCGUCUUCUUCCUGUUUAUUCCUCUGCAGCACAGCGGCAAGCUUGAGAAGACUGCAGCACAUAAAGAAUCAAUGCCAUCAUUUAAAAAUGGAACAAGAAAAUAUGAAACCUCUAUUACAUCUGGCAAGAGGCGAAAGCGUGAAAAGUGUCCCAAUGUAAAACGCUCACUCCCAAAGAAAAUAAUUUUCCUGUAUGAAACCAUGAUCAUUGUAUUGUUUUGUGAAUAAAUCCAUCUAGACUGCUUA
Schistocerca piceifrons (Central American locust) is the source of this 329-nucleotide long non-coding RNA. RefSeq lists it as uncharacterized. Lineage: Eukaryota; Metazoa; Arthropoda; Insecta; Orthoptera; Acrididae. The record is from RefSeq and is a predicted model, not a curated record. The transcript is spliced from 2 exons.